Molecule: ribosomal RNA, 454 nt
Filed under: uncultured bacterium
Lineage: Bacteria
Description: partial 16S ribosomal RNA
Rfam family: Bacterial small subunit ribosomal RNA
Source: RNAcentral
ACGGGAGGCAGCAGUGAGGAAUAUUGGUCAAUGGACGGAAGUCUGAACCAGCCAUGCCGCGUGCAGGAAUAAGGCCCUAUGGGUCGUAAACUGCUUUUGUGGUGGAGCAAUAAGGCGUACGUGUACGUCGAUGAGAGUACAUCACGAAUAAGCAUCGGCUAACUCCGUGCCAGCAGCCGCGGUAAUACGGAGGAUGCGAGCGUUAUCCGGAUUUAUUGGGUUUAAAGGGUGCGUAGGCGGCACGUUAAGUCAGCGGUGAAAUGCAGGGGCUCAACCCCGGCACUGCCGUUGAAACUGGCGAGCUCGAGUACGGAUGAAGUCGGCGGAAUGUGAUGUGUAGCGGUGAAAUGCUUAGAUAUGUCACAGAACACCGAUUGCGAAGGCAGCUGACUAAUCCGCAACUGACGCUCAGGCACGAAAGCGUGGGGAUCGAACAGGAUUAGAUACCCUGGUA